Molecule: transfer RNA, 68 nt
Filed under: Salmo salar (Atlantic salmon)
Lineage: Eukaryota; Metazoa; Chordata; Actinopteri; Salmoniformes; Salmonidae
Rfam family: tRNA
About the family: Transfer RNA (tRNA) molecules are approximately 80 nucleotides in length. Their secondary structure includes four short double-helical elements and three loops (D, anti-codon, and T loops).
Source: Rfam by way of RNAcentral
CCCUGUGGCACAGUUGGUAGAGCAUGGUGUUUGCAACACCAGGGUUGUGGGUUCGAUUCCCACAGGGG